Molecule: ribosomal RNA, 253 nt
Filed under: uncultured bacterium
Lineage: Bacteria
Description: partial 16S ribosomal RNA
Rfam family: Bacterial small subunit ribosomal RNA
Source: RNAcentral
UACGUAGGGGGCAAGCGUUGUCCGGAAUCAUUGGGCGUAAAGCGUGUGUAGGCGGCCGCGACAGUCGGAUGUGAAAGCCCUGGGCUCAACUCAGGAAGUGCACCCGAUACUACGUGGCUCGAGUACCGGAGAGGUUGGUGGAAUUCCCGGUGUAGUGGUGAAAUGCGUAGAUAUCGGGAGGAACACCAGUGGCGAAGGCGACUUCCUGGCCUGUUCUUGACGCUGAGGCGCGAAAGCUAGGGGAGCAAACGGG